UACGGGUGGUGCAAGUGUUAUUCCUCAUGACUAGGCGUAAAGGGUGCGUAGGUGGUAAAAAUGUUUUAAAUUAACAGGAACUUUUUUUUUUUACUUUUUUUUCUAGAAUUUAGAAGAUGAUAGUGGAACUUCAUGCAUUAGAGUUAAAAUUCGUUUUUUAAAACUUAAAGGAAUCACCAAGAGCUAAGGCAACUAUCAAUUU
RNAcentral lists this ribosomal RNA (202 nucleotides) under uncultured bacterium. RNAcentral's name for it is "partial 16S ribosomal RNA". The record is from RNAcentral.